UACGGAGGGUGCAAGCGUUAUCCGGAUUUAUUGGGUUUAAAGGGUCCGUAGGCGGGCUUAUAAGUCAGUGGUGAAAUCUCAUAGCUUAACUAUGAAACUGCCAUUGAUACUGUAAGUCUUGAGUGUAUUUGAAGUGGCUGGAAUAAGUAGUGUAGCGGUGAAAUGCAUAGAUAUUACUUAGAACACCAAUUGCGAAGGCAGGUCACUAAGAUACAACUGACGCUGAUGGACGAAAGCGUGGGGAGCGAACAGG
Molecule: ribosomal RNA, 253 nt
Filed under: uncultured bacterium
Lineage: Bacteria
Description: partial 16S ribosomal RNA
Rfam family: Bacterial small subunit ribosomal RNA
Source: RNAcentral